This 255-nucleotide ribosomal RNA is filed under the name uncultured bacterium. RNAcentral describes it as "partial 16S ribosomal RNA". It matches the Rfam family "Bacterial small subunit ribosomal RNA", at positions 524 to 776 of the family's 1533-position model. The record is from RNAcentral.
UACGUAGGGGGCUAGCGUUGUCCGGAAUCAUUGGGCGUAAAGAGCUUGUAGGCGGUUUGUCGCGUCUGCCGUGAAAAUUCGAGGCUCAACCUCGAACUUGCGGUGGGUACGGGGCAGACUAGAGUGCGGUAGGGGAGAUUGGAAUUCCUGGUGUAGCGGUGGAAUGCGCAGAUAUCAGGAGGAACACCGAUGGCGAAGGCAGAUCUCUGGGCCGUUACUGACGCUGGAGGAGCGAAAGCGUGGGGAGCGAACAGG